GUGCUCACUUUGGCAGCACAUAUACGAAAAUUGAAACGAUACAGAGAAGAUUAGUAUGGCCCCUGCACAUUAUGACACACAAAUUCGUGGUGUGUUCCAUAUUUGU
Molecule: small nuclear RNA, 106 nt
Organism: Erinaceus europaeus (western European hedgehog)
Lineage: Eukaryota; Metazoa; Chordata; Mammalia; Eulipotyphla; Erinaceidae
Source: Ensembl